AAUAGAUACCCCGGUAGUCCACGCCGUAAACGAUGAGUGCUAAGUGUUAGAGGGUUUCCGCCCUUUAGUGCUGCAGCUAACGCAUUAAGCACUCCGCCUGGGGAGUACGGUCGCAAGACUGAAAACUCAAAGGAAUUGACGGGGGCCCGCACAAGCGGUGGAGCAUGUGGUUUAAUUCGAAGCAACGCGAAGAACCUUACCAGGUCUUGACAUCCUCUGACAACUCUAGAGAUAGAGCGUUCCCCUUCGGGGGACAGAGUGACAGGUGGUGCAUGGUUGUCGUCAGCUCGUGUCGUGAGAUGUUGGGUUAAGUCCCGCAACGAGCGCAACCCUUGAUCUUAGUUGCCAGCAUUCAGUUGGGCACUCUAAGGUGACUGCCGGUGACAAACCGGAGGAAGGUGGGGAUGACGUCAAAUCAUCAUGCCCCUUAUGACCUGGGCUACACACGUGCUACAAUGGAUGGUACAAAGGGCUGCAAGACCGCGAGGUCAAGCCAAUCCCAUAAAACCAUUCUCAGUUCGGAUUGU
This 527-nucleotide ribosomal RNA is filed under the name uncultured bacterium. RNAcentral's name for it is "bacterial SSU rRNA". It matches the Rfam family "Bacterial small subunit ribosomal RNA", at positions 777 to 1301 of the family's 1533-position model. The record is from RNAcentral.